Long non-coding RNA from Chrysemys picta bellii (western painted turtle), 2695 nucleotides. The record is from Ensembl. NCBI's taxonomy places the organism in Eukaryota, Metazoa, Chordata, Testudines, Emydidae.
UAGGGCCCAACCUAACAUUUUGGGCCUAGAGCUGCCACUCAUAAGUGCUAAAUUUUGUUAUUAACGUUAUUUCUCAUCACUUCGUGGGGGUGGGGGAUACAACCCUUAUUUUGCAAUAUUAGCCAAAGUAUUGCUGUAUAAUUCUGUUACCUUUUCCAACCUGUUUAACUUUUUUUAGUCAGAUGUUGAUUGUGCAUGUCUAUAAAAUGUACAGCCUUGAUCUUAGUCCUAGCAGGCUUACAUCUGUGACCCCAAGACUGAUGGCUAGAAAGAGUCACUCUGGCAAACCAACUGCAAGGCCAUUUAGUGCUCCAGAUACCUUGCAAGCUAAAGCAUGUCAUCAGAAAGGUUGAAAAUGUUCUGAAGUUGGAUGUCCUCUGUCAGCAAGAUAGCCAAGCCCAUUUACCAUCUACUCUUGACCAUAUGGACACUUCUCAUUGGUGCCCUCCUAAAAGUGCCAAUAGUCAGAAUGACGAGUCAUUUCUAACAGCUUUAAUUGAAAUGAAGCUCCUCUGAAAGAAGGUGUUUUUAAUCUUGAAGAAACAGAAAGGAAGAAUAAUUUUCACCUGUCUAAAUCUGCUUCAGAAGAAAAGAAAAACCUCAUCUCCUUAACUAUUGAGGAGGAAAUGGAAAAACCAAAUGCCAAAAUAAUCAAUGUGGGCUCUCCAAAAGCAAAAUCUCCCAGGCCGGUGAUGGUAAUGUCCUGUUUACCGUCCCUGUUGUGUUUGAAAGUGAGUGAAACAUACCCCAUCAUUUAUGCUGAAGAAGAAUAUAUGCAAAACUUUAUUUUGAAGAGGUGGCUGCAUUUACAUGGAGAUAAAGUGUCUUAUGACUCAGAAAAGGAAAAUGGUGAGGUACAAACAAAUCCAAAUUCAGUUUUACAAAACAACUGCGAUUAUGCCCUUGCCUUAGUUGGAAAGGAAGAAAAGAAUACUUUUAAUGUAGCUGUGAAGGGGAAUAAAAAGCUAAAAAGAACAUUAUCCGGGAAACGGAAAAUCACUAUUCAUAUUUUAUCUUCAGAUGGAAAAAGUAGGAGCUUAAAAGAUUCACAGAAGGAAAAAACUUUUGUGCAGAAAAUAGUUGGUAGCUUUCAUGAUGUUGAAGUACCAAUCAGUAAGCUUACAUCAAAAGACAGGAAUGUUUCAGCAACAGGGGCUGAAUGUAACCCUGAUGGCCUUGUUAUAUUUGGAGUAAACCCAAAAGCUGCAGCACACCAAUCUGCCAAAGCAAAUGCAGCAACCGUCACUAAAUCUCACGGCUCUUACAGCAAGCCACUAACCAUGGCCUCCCAGCUUCAAAAAAAAGGCAGGUUGGCUCAUUCAUCACAGUUGGAUUAUAUAUCCAUAACAAAACCUAUUAAAAUACCUGACUGUCCAAAUGUCAAUUCAGAGUCAUUUCACAAAAUCUCAAUGAAACGUGAUCAUUUGGAAAACAAAAGGAUUAUUCUGUCUGGGGCUUGUUUUAAGGAAAAACCUCCACUUAGUCAGAACAAUGAAGUAUCCAAACCUGCCAGGUGUUCUCAACCAGAUUCUUGCAAGGAAGAAACAUCAGCUGAGAAAAAGCUAAAUAAUAAGGAACAUUGCAUAGAUAGUAGGAAAGGCCAAGAAUGGGAUAAUACUGUGGAAUUCUGGAGCACUCGCAGAUCUUCAGCAUCACUGAAAAAUUCACAUGCAGUGCCAGACAACAGCCCUGAGCCCCAGAAAAAAGCAAUGCUACCUGAACGUCCAGCAUCAUUACCUGUUAACUUCAAUCAUCCAAUUAUUAGUAUACCAACCGCACAAUGUGAUGCCUCGGAAUUCAGGAUAAAAAAAGUUGAUGCUGAAUUUACAGACGACACUGAUACUCCAAAGGACACCAGUCGUUACAAUUAACUGAUGGUAUGUCUAACAAUGGGCUACCAAAGAUAUAUGGGAUCGUUCCAUUUCUGAAAUGAAUGCAUCUGCCAAUCUAGAUGUUAUGGUAAUUUUUUCUCAGAACAGCUAUUAUUCUGUACAUGAACUUAUGUAAGCCAUGAGAUGUUUGCCAUUAAAUGAAUUAUGAUAUAGCAAUUAUAAGGGGAUGUGUGUCUCUUAAAAAUUACGAUAAUUGAUAGGCCUUUAUUCAAUGGUUUUACUAGGCACAUAUAAGAAGCAUUAAACUCCUAUUUCAAGCACAGAAGUUACUUCUUUUAAAUCCUGAAUGACUUUGUGUGUGAACAUUUUAAUGCAUUAAGAUAUUAUCUUUACUUUUAAAUAGAGAGAGAAAAGGUAUUUAGAGUAUUAUCCACCUUUCUUCCUUAAUUUAUUGCAUAGAUUUAAAAAAUCUUACAACAUCCAGUACUGUGAAUUUCACAUUGCUUAUCAUCUAUGUUGUAUAUUUCAAGAUUCUAGCCCAAGUCCUCCCUUGCAAUGUUAACAAAAUUGUAUUUAGUGGAAUUAGGCUUUUAAUAUUUAGCAAUAUUGGAUUAGGCUGGAGUUCUCCAUAAAAUACAUUGUAGACAACAUGCGUAGACUAAUGACUACUUUGAUUCACUUAUUCUCAGCUAAUAUUAGGCACUUAAAAAAAAGAAGAAGAAAAGGCUUUCAGCGGGAUAGAUUGUCUCCAUAUGGGAAGUGUUUGGAACUGAAAUGAAUGCAGGAGAUUUUCAUCAUGCUACUUAGAAGAUAUCUUACCAGACGAAACUAAAUUUACACAUUGUACUCAGACCUGAUAGUUU